Pelmatolapia mariae (spotted tilapia) is the source of this 224-nucleotide long non-coding RNA. RefSeq lists it as uncharacterized. The record is from RefSeq and is a predicted model, not a curated record. The transcript is spliced from 3 exons. Lineage: Eukaryota; Metazoa; Chordata; Actinopteri; Cichliformes; Cichlidae.
CACAAAUUACCUCAGACACACAGACUGAUGCGACAAAACCAACAUGGCUGGUAAGGACAUGAGGAGGAAACAGUAGGAGCUGUGUGAGGCUACUAAAGGCAGUGAAUCCCUCAGCAGCUGGAUUACAAAGAGCACAGUCUCAGAUCAACACAGCCCUGCCCUCCAGCACUAUCAGCAGCAGGAGCAGCAGCAACCCCUCAACAGCAACAUUGUACCCAUCAGGU